This 414-nucleotide ribosomal RNA is filed under the name uncultured eukaryote. RNAcentral describes it as "SSU rRNA". It matches the Rfam family "Eukaryotic small subunit ribosomal RNA", at positions 592 to 1018 of the family's 1831-position model. The record is from RNAcentral.
CAAUAGCGUAUAUUAAAGUUGUUGCAGUUAAAAAGCUCGUAGUUGGAUUUCUGGCAGGGUGAGCCAAACCUCAAUAUGAGUGUGCAGGCCCGCCCUACCAUCCUUCUGUUAACUUCUAAGGCCUUCACGGUCUUUCUAGGGCUCAGAUAUUUUACCUUGAGAAAAUUAGAGUGUUUCAGGCAGGCUAGCGCCGGAAUACAUUAGCAUGGAAUAAUGGAAUAGGACUUUUGCCUCUUCUGUUGGUCUGAGGGGUUCGAGUAAUGAUUAAUAGGGAUAGUUGGGGGCAUUAGUACUUAACUGUCAGAGGUGAAAUUCUCGGAUUUGUUAAAGACUAACUUAUGCGAAAGCAUUUGCCAAGGAUGUUUUCAUUAAUCAAGAACGAAAGUUAGGGGAUCAAAGAUGAUUAGAUACCAU